RNAcentral lists this ribosomal RNA (848 nucleotides) under Paraburkholderia tropica. Its description in RNAcentral is "bacterial SSU rRNA". It matches the Rfam family "Bacterial small subunit ribosomal RNA", at positions 63 to 867 of the family's 1533-position model. The record is from RNAcentral. Lineage: Bacteria; Pseudomonadati; Pseudomonadota; Betaproteobacteria; Burkholderiales; Burkholderiaceae.
CGCAUGGCUCCCUCCUUUCUAUUUUCAUUUCUAUAUCCAACGGCAGCACGGGUGCUUGCACCUGGUGGCGAGUGGCGAACGGGUGAGUAAUACAUCGGAACGUGUCCUGAAGUGGGGGAUAGCCCGGCGAAAGCCGGAUUAAUACCGCAUACGAUCUACGGAUGAAAGCGGGGGAUCUUCGGACCUCGCGCUAUAGGGGCGGCCGAUGGCGGAUUAGCUAGUUGGUGAGGUAAAGGCUCACCAAGGCGACGAUCCGUAGCUGGUCUGAGAGGACGACCAGCCACACUGGGACUGAGACACGGCCCAGACUCCUACGGGAGGCAGCAGUGGGGAAUUUUGGACAAUGGGCGAAAGCCUGAUCCAGCAAUGCCGCGUGUGUGAAGAAGGCCUUCGGGUUGUAAAGCACUUUUGUCCGGAAAGAAAUCCCUGGUCCUAAUAUGGCCGGGGGAUGACGGUACCGGAAGAAUAAGCACCGGCUAACUACGUGCCAGCAGCCGCGGUAAUACGUAGGGUGCAAGCGUUAAUCGGAAUUACUGGGCGUAAAGCGUGCGCAGGCGGUGAUGUAAGACCGAUGUGAAAUCCCCGGGCUCAACCUGGGAACUGCAUUGGUGACUGCAUCGCUUGAGUAUGGCAGAGGGGGGUAGAAUUCCACGUGUAGCAGUGAAAUGCGUAGAGAUGUGGAGGAAUACCGAUGGCGAAGGCAGCCCCCUGGGUCAAUACUGACGCUCAUGCACGAAAGCGUGGGGAGCAAACAGGAUUAGAUACCCUGGUAGUCCACGCCCUAAACGAUGUCAACUGGGUUGUCGGGUCUUCAUUGACUUGGAUAACGUAGCUAACGCGUGAAGUUG